This 257-nucleotide ribosomal RNA is filed under the name uncultured Pseudomonas sp. RNAcentral describes it as "partial 16S ribosomal RNA". It matches the Rfam family "Bacterial small subunit ribosomal RNA", at positions 96 to 354 of the family's 1533-position model. The record is from RNAcentral. Lineage: Bacteria; Pseudomonadati; Pseudomonadota; Gammaproteobacteria; Pseudomonadales; Pseudomonadaceae.
CGGCGGACGGGUGAGUAAUGCCUAGGAAUCUGCCCGGUAGUGGGGGACAACGUUUCGAAAGGAACGCUAAUACCGCAUACGUCCUACGGGAGAAAGCAGGGGACCUUCGGGCCUUGCGCUAUCAGAUGAGCCUAGGUCGGAUUAGCUAGUUGGUGAGGUAAUGGCUCACCAAGGCGACGAUCCGUAACUGGUCUGAGAGGAUGAUCAGUCACACUGGAACUGAGACACGGUCCAGACUCCUACGGGAGGCAGCAGGU